This 2202-nucleotide non-coding RNA is filed under the name Pan troglodytes (chimpanzee). Lineage: Eukaryota; Metazoa; Chordata; Mammalia; Primates; Hominidae. The record is from RNAcentral.
UUAUGCAUUUAAUGAAAUCAAGUGGCAUGUGGGUUUGCUGUAUGCGGACAUAGUUUUGGCUGUAGGUUGUUUUCACGAACCCACAGAGACAGAAACCUGCGGCAAUGGAGAAAAUGCUAAUACAGACAUCUUACUUCAGUGUCUGGCAAACGAGAUUAUACACUGAGGACGAUGUAGACGUCAGCUUCCCUGACGAGGGAAGCUGCAGCCUUCCGAUGAUUCCUGAAGCCUACAUUCUAUUAAUUUCCCCCAAGAGCCCUAUUGCCUAAUGGAACAUUGCGAGAAUGGCCAGUCUGGAAAGCAGGAUCAGUGGAGCUGGCUUCUGGCUCACUGGCUUUCAGCUGAGCCUUCCAAAUGGCUGGGAAUGAACAUCCAGUUAGAAGCCUCAGUUUGGAACAGUGGUUCUCAGACUUCAUGGUGUGUGACAGUCACUGGGGAACUUGUCCAAACACAGAUUGACAGACCCCAUCCCAAAGUUUCUGAUUCAGCGGCUCUAGGGAGGGCCCUAAGAACACGAGCUCCUCUUCCCAAGCUCCCAGGUGACGCUGAGGUUGCUGCCCCGGGAGCCCACUUUGAGAAUUGCUGAUCUAGGGUGUGCUGGGGCAACUCUGGCUGUCAGAGGGGUCAGGACACUUGGUCUCCUUCUCUUUGGUCUCACUGAGAAUGUGAAUGUGAAUGGCCUUUUGAGGCCACUUGCACUGAGUCCUCUACAGGGCACAUUGGACGGCGGGGGAGCGUCUGGAAGGGGUCUGCACACCGGCUUGCAGCCUCAGUGAUGCUCAUCUAGUGCGGGUCCUGCGUGGUCCCCAGAGGAACCCAGUGAGAAAUCCGGAGGAGACGGACAGAGAGGAGGCUGACAGUUCCUUUUGUAUUACAACGUCAUGAUUACAAAUAAUCAUAAUAGAGUGCCCAUUUUAAAGUGGCCUUUCCCUCCAAGCACACAGGAGACUCCCUCAGAUUCCCUAGGAGACCAAAGAAAUACUGAAUCUACUCCACAAAAGGUACUUGGUUGGCUGCUUCCCCAGGAACAUCCCUCCAUCCUCACGGGUGUCCCGCCAUGGACCUCGGGGAGCCCUGGACAAACAUGCAUGUGUGCGACGCUUGUAACAAACCUGCAAGGUUACCAAGGGCUUCAACGACAUUUAUUCUCCCAGCAAGCAAGUCAUGAGUGUGUCCUGCCUUAUCUAUGGUGGAAGGAAAGUACACAGAACUAGGACGCACGUGUCUAUCCCGGUCUCUGGUCUCUUGUCCAGCGAUAGCAUCCUCCGGGCUGCGUGAACUCAGCUUGGGGCUGUGAAGGGACAGCCGUAUAUCUUGUCACCGAGGGCCACCGCAAUGGGGAGCUGCACCUGACACAUUUACAUUUCACAAAGAUAUCUGCCACUCCGUGGACACGGACCAGAAAGAGGCUUGGAUGACGUAGGAUUCUGAUGAUGUAUUCUCCAUUUCAAUUCUAGACUGUGUGCAAACUUCAUUCUUUCUUCUACGUUCUUUAGUUAUGACUAUUACAGGAGAAAGGAAAAAAUCGAAGGUGAAGGAAGCAAAGACAGAAAGGAAGGACGGUUUGGUGGCCAGAGCGAGGUCUUCCCACGUCACUCCCGGGAGGUGUGCUGACGCGUUGCUCCUCCGUCCUGCAGAACGCCGUGGGUCGUGGCAGCAGCUGCAGCUGUUUCACAGGCUGUGCUCCCUGUAGACUAAGCAUCUACUCCGCGCUAUAGGGCAAUGCGAGACACAAAAGACCCGAGCCUUCCCGGGAGCUUGCCAUCCAGCUGAGGAAGCCUAACUAGCCACGCUUCCUGUAGCAUACAGUGGUCACUUUCUCCUCCAUGGAAGUAUGUCUGGGCCCACGCACCCCACUCCUUCCAGAGCCUCCACGCGCUGUGUGUCCCCCGUGGCGCUUUGCUUGCCACCGAGCCCUGCGUCUUGAGAACUCUGAACGGUUUGUUGUAGUCAAGACACUCGGAGAUCCUAGAGACGCGAAAAGCAGGAGGGGGACGUGUGACGGCCACUGCGAGGCUCCGGGAGAGUUUAAUUCAAAUUUGGAUUUUUCUCACUCUUACGCUUUGGGGCAAUACUGUUAAAUGGUAAAUAUAUAGCCAUUGUAUGAACAGCAAUACACAAAGGAGUUAUUUGGAAAUGAAAGCCUUAUUGAAGGCCCUGGAAAAAUUAAACAAAUAAAUGCUUCCUUUAGAUCGCUCAUUC